GCAGAAUAGAAAGGAAAACCACAGAUGCUGAGGUGUAGAUAAGCCAUGCUCCCCAAGGGGGUAACUCAUCAAGCCAGAUCCCCAUCAAGCUCAGCUGCUCCCAGGUGCGUGGACUCCGACACUUCCAAACAUCCUUCUCCUGCAGCCACGUGCCCUACGCCCGCAGCUGGGAAAUGUGGAAGAGACAUGGUGUCAGCUCUUUGCCAGAUGGGACACUGAUGCAUAGAGAAAAUCCUUCAGGGUAAUUUUAGCCAGCUUUGGGAGAAGACUCAAGGUGACCUUCAUGCGUGGUAAGAUCUAACACUGCAGACAAAAAGUAGAAUGUUAGGAUUGCUUUUGUAUAGAAGGAGGUACUGAAAUAGUAAUAUGUACACAUAGAUGUGUUAAAAUGUGCCUCCAACAUAAGAUCAGACAUAAGCAUAAAAUAAUGGGACUUUCUGCCCUGCUGUGUGUCCUUUGAGGCACUCAGGCCAUAGAGAGAUAAUGGAGAAGACACACAUCACUGGGCAGGUGUGUUCUCCGGGUGGGUGAACUACUACUACAAGUUAAUAGAGGGACUAUAAUCUAAAAAAAAUAAGAAAGGGGGAUGAGGGUGGGGAUGAAACAACUCCUAGUACCCUGUCAUGUACAUUAACUGUGAUUAGCACUUCAGGAUACAAUUAGGAUACUAAAGGUUCUCUGCAGGGUGGCACACCAUAAUAAAUCGUAUGAUGCAUCUGACCUACAGGAAUGGUCAGGAUCCAGAUUUUUUCUUCUUGAAAGAAAACAUAAUUAAUGGGAAUAGCUCUUGAUAGAUGUCAGAAGUGAGAUGAUGGAACAGAGGGAGCAUAUCAGUCCUACUGGAGUUCUACAAUAAAACAGCAAAAUGACAGUAGGAAAAAAAAUACUUUAAAAAUACCUUAGCUUGGAAAUGGAGAAGGUUGCCUGAGAAGGUGUCUCAGAGUGUAUAACAGUUUGUUUAGUGGUGUAGUUGCACAGUGAAAUGAUUUCCAAGGAGAAUAUUGAUCUUGAGGGAUGUGUUCCAGCCUUACCAUAUGCCAAUCUGGAAUACGUUACCAAAUAGACUUUUCCAUCCUCUGUGGUUUAAUGCCUCUCUCUACAUAGAUUCAGUGAAACAUCUGCAAAGGAUGUCAAUUUGCAUUUUGUUGUGCUUGAAUAAUAACUACUAUUCAUUUAUCUACAGGACAGUGACAGUGUGUGUGCACUGCCAUACAGACAUGUGCCUUCUGACAAGAGCAAAUCCCUGGAGUCCUGCAGCUCACUGUGGGUUCCCUCUCCAGUGGGUAUGGAAGUGAUCAGCCAGGAGGCACGGAGAAGAGCAGCAUGGGCAAGAACAGCUUUAAGCCAUCUUCAGUGCUCCCUCAGUGCUGGGGAUUGCUGAUGUGAAUGGAGUUCAGAAGUGUCGUGUAAAUAUUUACGUGUGAAGUGGAUGCUGCUUGUGACUGGUACCCAUGGGAAAUACACCAAAAAAGUGGAAAGCUGUGGUUGUUAUUAGCAGCAGCAGCGCUACGGAGCAGCCUGCACUGUCACACAUCUGUUUGGCAGCUGCUUUUGUGAGCAUAUUACUCUCACCACAUUUAAACCACUUGUAACAUGGCCCUGACCUUUAGAUUUUGGUCUGUAUUCAUACAUAGUUAAAAACAUGUAAUUAUCCCGAUCUGUCUCCUGAUGAAUCAUCCUUGCAAAUUUCACCAUUAACAGUCCCACCUGCUUGUAUUAUUCCGAAACUGCAGAUUACUGCUCAAUGUAGUUUUGUCCCCAGGCUGCCAGAGAGCUCUGUAAGUUAUGACCAGGCUUCUCCUCUUCCUCACACCUCUCAUUUACCAAGAGUAUGUAAGGCAGAUUAAUUUGUGUCACAUGUGUAAUUAACAAUGUUACCCUUACAUGUUUCAUUGAGGGAAAAAAAAGAAAAAAACAAACAACACCUUAUGGAUUUCUGCAUUUCCUUAUCAAUUGCCCAAAGUGUGCUUCAGCCUGGUACAAGAUACUGUUUGUGAGGGCUAAGAACCCCUCAGUUUCUCUGUUCUGCCCCACUACUUCGUUUGUUUUUUGGUAGAACAUAUUUCUGCUAAUUUUCUAACUAAGGACUGCUGUGACCUCCAGGCUGGCAGUCUGUUACCUAGCAAGGACAGGGUACUAUACAUGAACUCUACAUAUGUUUGUGUAUUUUUUUUUUUUUUCUAAAUCACAUAUUUUAUAGGUGUGAUUAACAGCAGUUCAGGCACAAAUACAGAUGUGGCUACUUACUCGAUCUUGUGUGCUGCAAAGUGAGUGGUUAGCAGAAUGCUGACUCUCAGGUCUGUCACUCCUACAGCACUCAGCAAUUACCCAGCACUGCCCACCCAACCUCUCCAAGCACUAUGCACACACAAGGAGUGUAUGUUCCCAGUGCAGGGAAGGGAGAUGCCUUUGUGACCUGCCACCGGUCCCUCAGCAAAUCGGCGGCUGUGCUGGAGGCAGCAGUGAUGUCCUCCGAAGCUCCACUGCAGUUGCAUGUCUGCUGCAUUGCCCUGCCUCCACCAUGAGCUAUUCCAGUCCAGCCACCUCCAGUGCCUUGCAUAUUUGAUACCACAUUAUGCAUGUUAAAACAUUCUGCACCUACAUGUAAGUGACUGUGUUUCAUACAUCCUGAUAGCCCAUCCAAUUUCACUGAAAAUAACAGCUUGGUAUUUUACUGUUCUGCCAACGUGCAGGGACUAAUCAAAAGUGCUCUGCAUUCAUUUUCUGCUUGGAAAGGGACAAGACUGAUAUCUCAGGAAAAGCAAGCAAGAAAAAAAAGUGAACGCCACAAAUUACCAAUCCCAGUUUGACCCUGGGAUAUUUGCUGAUAUGGCCUUCACAACUUUGGUGAGCACAACAUUUAUCUCACAAUGAAGGUUUCUGACAGUACUACUAAUAUUCCUUGGGUUCAGUUUCACUUUUAGCUACUUCCAAACUUUGUCUACUUUCUUUCUACUGCAUGUAGAAACCAAUCAUGCCCAUGCUCAUACUUCUAAGGUAGUUAACAAUCUAAGAAAAAAAAAUAAUCUUCUCACUUGAUGUUCCUUGUUGGCCAAAUACGGAAGCAAUCAGUGUCUUCAAACAGACCUGCAAAUCAUCUGUGCAGAGUAUUUUCAGGUUCUCAUCACAGCCUCAGCUGCUGGAAACAACAAGACCAGUGUCUUGGAGGCUAAAAGGCACUGCUACAGGCACAGCUUUGCUGGAAUGCCAAGCAGGCUCUCAGAUCAGUCCCUGCGAAUAUCAACCUGCAGUAUCUCCUUGCCUUAUUUUCUCAUCUGCUUCUGCUUGUAAGGUUUUUCCACUGAGGUUCUUCUGGCUCCAGGUAUUGUGUAAAUUGUCUUGUGAAUUCUGCUUCUCCAGUAUUUGUGAUUGAGACCUGACCACAAGUACUCCUAAAGCCCAGAGAGUCCUUCUGCACAGAAUGAAACGUGAAAGCCAGGCUAUCACUGCCUACCGUUGUGCUACCACCCAAGUCUCUUCUACCUAAAACACAGAUUUACACAAAAAUGAGUUGGGAUGAGUAGACUAGGUACUUGU
Anas platyrhynchos (mallard) is the source of this 3537-nucleotide non-coding RNA. The record is from RefSeq and is a predicted model, not a curated record. Lineage: Eukaryota; Metazoa; Chordata; Aves; Anseriformes; Anatidae.